CAUAAAUUUCUAAUUUUUUUGUGCUCGAUUAAAGACUAACAAAAAAAAAACCUAUCUCAACAUGAUGUCCAACUUUGCCGGUCUCCCCGAAAACAACAAACCAUCUUCCAAGUAUGUGGCUUAUUAUGGAUUAUUAAUCGUAACUAUUUAUAAAUACACUGUAUUAGUAUAAUAAGCACAAUUUUGCUGAUAUUUUUUACUUGCGAUACACAGCUGUGAACACGAAAUUAGCAGUGCUUACACAGUUUCAAUAAAAAGUUAAAUAUUUUUAGCGUGCUGCUUUGCAAAAAAGUUUAAAAUUACAUUUUGCAUUGGGCCUCAGUCAUCAUAUCCAAGCUUCCAAAUAUAAAUUUUGUUCAUAUUUUUUUGGGAGGUUAAAGUGUUGCCUAAAUCGACAUUGCCAAAAGUUGUCAAAAUCGGACGCAAAAAGCAUUGUUCUGAAAUGUUAAUGGAAUUCAAUAAAAAAAACUUUAC
Episyrphus balteatus (marmalade hoverfly) is the source of this 474-nucleotide long non-coding RNA. RefSeq lists it as uncharacterized. NCBI's taxonomy places the organism in Eukaryota, Metazoa, Arthropoda, Insecta, Diptera, Syrphidae. The transcript has 3 exons. The record is from RefSeq and is a predicted model, not a curated record.